Peromyscus californicus insignis is the source of this 683-nucleotide long non-coding RNA. RefSeq lists it as uncharacterized. Lineage: Eukaryota; Metazoa; Chordata; Mammalia; Rodentia; Cricetidae. The transcript is spliced from 3 exons. The record is from RefSeq and is a predicted model, not a curated record.
CACGAUGUAGAGCCUGUUCGAAUUUCAAGUAAAAGACCAAACAGAGCGAUUUUCCAAAGUUGGCAAAAUUUAACUAAAUCACCACAAAACUGACCUUAGAAACAAAGAGAAACGGAGCAGGAGAAGGCCAGAUUUCUCCUGGCUGCAGAACGGUGGCAAAUAUCCCAGAACUAAGGAAGGCUGCCAAGGGGGAAGAGAAAAAGAAAGGACUUCCCGAAAGCAGCCAGCCCAGGCACACUGCCUUCCCAACAGCUGGACGAGAUGGGAGCAACACACAGACAAGCAAAGACAGGGCAACUCAAGAAGGAAGAGGACCUUGUCCAGGAUGCUGGUGGGAAGACAGGAAGCACUGGAGACUGAAUGUAACUGAAAGAGUUCUAAGGGCAACAGCUUUCCUGGACGGGAAUGUGACAGCAGAGAAACGAUGACAAGAGAGGGUGAAUCUGACAACCAGGAAUUCUUCUUCCCUCUGCCUCACUGCUAAUCCCCGAGCUUUUGCUUCCACCCUUUAUUUUGGUGUUGGAGUUAAACUUAAGACUUUAUGUAUGCUUAGUACACACUACAAAUAUAUAUCCUAGAGUCCACAAGGAUGCAUGGUGGGCCUUUCCUCAGCUAUUCUUCAAAUGAAACACCUUUCUAUGCAACAGCCUAUUCUCAAAAAAAUAAAAAAAAAUUGAGAUUUA